AGAUUCUGGGCUGCAGCCCCGGGUCUCUUACCGUCACCAGCACACAGUGCAGGUCCGGGGUCUGCGCGGCGCCCCCGCUCUCCGCCGGGCCCGCGUCGUUCUCCAGUAGCAGCAGCUCAGCUAGCCGACCCGGGUUGCUGACCCGCAGGAUGUUGAUGUCGUUCUCGCAGCAGAACGCACGGAUGAGGGUGAAAUGGAUCUGCAGAGCCACAUCCCGGUCGUCGUCUUCGUCAGCAGCCAGCAGGCACAGUACCACGUUAUCGGGGUCUCUGCGGGCAGCGGGGCAGCGGUAACUGACUUGUCUGCACUCAAAACUCAGAGCCUGUCUUUCCCAGAGUAUCAGUUACUGCAGAGACUCAAGAGAUUUAAGUGCAGAAAAGAAGGGACUUUUGAGUGCUCAGUCCUAAGUUGAACAAUGAUAUCAUCCCCUCCAAAGCUCAAGAUGGUUGUAAGCCACCCUGUGAUUGCUGGGAUUUGAACUCAAGACCUCCGGAAGAGCAAUUAGUGCUCUUAACCGCUGAGCAAUCUCUCCAGCCCGACUCUGCAAGUUUCAGUGAGAUAUGUUCAAACUGGCCUAAAAUUUUCUAGAUGCUCAGACUGGCCCCAGCUUCCCAAAAGCUGAACUGGCAAGCAUGUGCCGCCAUGCCUGGUAAAAUCUGAGAUUUGCACGCAUUGCAAAACCAGUCCUGCAGGUUAGCACAGCGUAAUGGGCUUAAUUUUCAUAUGAGUGUGUCCUCAUCUGGCUUAUUCUCCUCCCACGCGGUCCUCAGAAGCCUUUCAAGGUCUGACCUAUGAGUGGACUUUCCAUCACCUCUCACUCCUCAUUCGGAAUGGGCAUUUGGGCAGUGUGGGACCGGAAGUAAGACCCUGCUCCUGAGAGUGUGGAAGAGAAAGCACCAUGAGACAAGACUGGGUAAAACCAAAGACUUCCUCAGCCACAAGGCAAUUAGGGAACCAGGAUACAUCUUCAAAGGGAGGGGCAGGGGCAGGACCUCUAUGCCAGUCAAGUGUUUUAACUUGGUGACAAACCGCAAUGAGUGAAGGGAAGCAGGGGUGGACUGGUUGGAGACUGAACUCGGAACUGCUUUGGGGAUCCUGCCACGCUGUCUUGGGGAGGGGGGGGCAAUGUCACCCACUCCCUUCAAUCUCUUGCAUUUACCAGCCUUGCCCAGCACUUGUGAAGUUCUUGCUGCUGUCUUAUCUGGGCUACAAGCCCUUUAAGGGGGACUCUGCCUUUCAGGGGGAAUGGUAAAUGUCCGAAUGAAGACCUGACUCCAGCAUGGUGUCUGGCACAACACCACUCUCUCUUAAAAGGAAAAACAAAACAAAACAAAACAAAACAAAAUUAUUCAACACUCUGGAAAUUUUGAUCUAAGAACCUGCGUGAGGAAAAAGAACCUAUUAUAUUUUUAAAAAUAAAACCUUUAUUUCUAUGGUCCUGC
RNAcentral lists this long non-coding RNA (1442 nucleotides) under Mus musculus (house mouse). RNAcentral describes it as "RIKEN cDNA E230016M11 gene". Lineage: Eukaryota; Metazoa; Chordata; Mammalia; Rodentia; Muridae. The record is from RNAcentral.